UAGGGAAUCUUCGGCAAUGGACGGAAGUCUGACCGAGCAACGCCGCGUGAGUGAAGAAGGUUUUCGGAUCGUAAAGCUCUGUUGUUAUAGAAGAACGUUGGUAGGAGUGGAAAAUCUACCAAGUGACGGUAACUAACCAGAAAGUGACGGCUAACUACGUGCCAGCAGCCGCGGUAAUACGUAGGUCCCGAGCGUUGUCCGGAUUUAUUGGGCGUAAAGCGAGCGCAGGCGGUUCUUUAAGUCUGAAGUUAAAGGCAGUGGCUUAACCAUUGUACGCUUUGGAAACUGGAGGACUUGAGUGCAGAAGGGGGGAGUGGAAUUCCAUGUGUAGCGUUGAAAUGCGUAGAUAUAUGGAGGAACACCGGUGGCGAGUGCGGCUCUAUGGUCUGUAACUGACGCUGAGGCUCGAAAGCGUGGGGAGCAAACAGG
RNAcentral lists this ribosomal RNA (429 nucleotides) under Bacillota bacterium. RNAcentral describes it as "Firmicutes bacterium partial 16S ribosomal RNA". It matches the Rfam family "Bacterial small subunit ribosomal RNA", at positions 355 to 776 of the family's 1533-position model. Lineage: Bacteria; Bacillati; Bacillota. The record is from RNAcentral.